CUUGUUUCCUAUGUGGGAAACUAAGUUUUUUGUCCUCUCAGCAGCUAGAGCUGCUACAACAAGGUAUAAAUUUCAGUGAACUUCAGUGGACAUUUCACUUCCCCAGGGUUUUAGUUGGUGUUCAUUUGAUAAAAAUUGCUCCUGGACUUUUAGAACUGGUCAGUGCAAAAUAAAUGAGGCAUAUAUAUAAAACCUGACCAUCAGCUUCUGAAAUUUCCAUGUUUAAAUUUCCGAAUAAUAUAAGCAAAUGAAACACAAGUAGUAGGAGACAUAACAACUUUUAGAAAACAUUUCAACUUCUUUCCUUAUACAUUUAAACUUUUGAGAACCACUGUCAGUCAUCAAGAUACCGAUUUUUUUUUUUUUUUACUUUGCAGAUUACUCUGAGUGAUGAAGAAAUGAUAGCCAGGAACUCUGUAGACACAGACAAGGAAAAUCUGUGAUAUCCUCCUAUGUGUUGCUCUUACCUGAAGAUUUCAAAACACAGUUCAUGGGAAGUGCCCUCUGCUGUCCCACCUGGGAGAGGUUCUGGUUUCUUCUGGGUUGCAGAAAGGUGAAACUUUGUUGUUGACUUUACUUUCUGGCUGUUUGUCUUUCCUCUUCUGCACUGCUGCACCUAGCAAACCACUUCUCUGUUCCUCUUCCCUGACCCAUUUCCUAA
RNAcentral lists this long non-coding RNA (661 nucleotides) under Anas zonorhyncha (Eastern spot-billed duck). RNAcentral describes it as "lncRNA (ENSAZOG00000009795.1)". Lineage: Eukaryota; Metazoa; Chordata; Aves; Anseriformes; Anatidae. The record is from RNAcentral.